UUUGAGUGUAUACGUGUUCAACCUGUGUACAAAGACAUGAAAGACAGUUGCAAAAAUAAAUCCUCUUUUACAACCUAGAACUUAUUUUUCAGUAUGAGUUUUGAUACACACAAGAAAGAAUAUG
This is a small nucleolar RNA of Nannospalax galili (Upper Galilee mountains blind mole rat), 124 nucleotides long. The record is from Ensembl. NCBI's taxonomy places the organism in Eukaryota, Metazoa, Chordata, Mammalia, Rodentia, Spalacidae.